Molecule: ribosomal RNA, 85 nt
Filed under: Candidatus Woesearchaeota archaeon
Lineage: Archaea; Nanobdellati; Candidatus Woesearchaeota
Source: RNAcentral
UUGGACGGUCAAAGCGGCGUGGUCCUACCCGAACCCAUUUCGAACUCGGAAGUCAAGCGCGCCUACGUUUUGCAUUGUACUGCGC